CCGUCUAGUUGGAAAUAUGGAGGAUUUGUUAGUUUAGAGGUGAUUUUCACACACGCACGUGGCAAACGGGCAAUGAUAUCAUUAUCUUUUUUAAUACAUGCAAGCUUCAGGAGUACAUGUAUACACUCACCUCUACAAAAGCACACACCUUUACUCUGUUUCUGUGAGCAUUUUCGAGAGAAUGAAUCGACAUAGCAUCUUACGAUUUACGAAGUAAUUGUAGACGUAUCG
Molecule: long non-coding RNA, 231 nt
Filed under: Hordeum vulgare
Lineage: Eukaryota; Viridiplantae; Streptophyta; Magnoliopsida; Poales; Poaceae
Description: long non-coding RNA (HVUL_LNC004792)
Source: RNAcentral